This 1174-nucleotide long non-coding RNA is filed under the name Sarcophilus harrisii (Tasmanian devil). RNAcentral describes it as "lncRNA (ENSSHAG00000027872.1)". The record is from RNAcentral. Lineage: Eukaryota; Metazoa; Chordata; Mammalia; Dasyuromorphia; Dasyuridae.
UUAGAGAGGGGGCAGGUCCUCACAGAUCGCCAAAGAAAUCCCUAUCGUCCUAGUGACCACGGUUCCACCAGGUCUGUACAGAUUGUCUCUUCUGCUGGCUCCGCCGCGGCUCGUGGCUGUCUCUCUCCCUGAGUGCCUGUCCCCAGUCCCCUGUCCCCGUCCGUGCGUCUCUCUCAGGCUCCGGCGGCUUCGUCACUGCUCUCGGCUGUUCCCAGCCGCUCUGGAAGCCCCCUAGCCUUAAUGCAGCGCUCGACGACGUCACUGCGGGCGGCGGCCAAUCAGAGACUCGCGGUCCCUCUGUAAACCAUUAUCCAUCCCGGCGGCCGGGGAGAGUGCAGCGCGACCGCUUAUAGUGAAUCAACCGCGGGACCCGCGGCAAAGUACGCGGCGCGACGUGGCGCAGCGGCCCGGGGACCAGUCCUGACCCGGAGUACGGCGUCCACUUCCCAACGCUUUGGAACAUGAUUUACUGGGCUCUUGUCAACUCCCCUUCCUCAGGACCCAGGGCUGACUCGGAAUCUUCACCAGUCCCGGGGUCAUUUCCCGCCAGGAGACAGCUAGUACCACUAGGCUCCCGAAAGACAGUUUCCUGGCCUGAUCAGAAUGAAGAACACAUGAUAAUUGUCUGGUAUGAAGAACGGGAGCUAUCACCCAAGGUCCACGACUGACAUGUUUUGCCCUCCAGCAAAUGAAGAGAACGAAGGGAGCAGAUACCAAGUGGGAUGACAUUGGACUGGAGGAAGAAAGGGAAGAUGACCUCCUGAAAGGCCUGAGCAGCAAUAGAGCUCUCAGAUGAUCCUUACUGCCAUGUGUUGCCCUGAAUUGUCUGACAGGCUUUAAUUGUGUCUGCUCUCAAUAACCUGUGUACUCCCAUUUGCCAAAUGCUGCUCUGCCAAAGCAUCCUCAAAUAAACUUGCUUAAAAUGAUGUCAGGGCCUUGCAUGGGCUAUUUAAUUCUAUCAAUGAUAAACAAUGUUAAUGUGUAACAUUCCAGACUCCACGAUGUCAUGUUUCAUUUAUAUAUGCCCAUACAUAUUUAAGCAGGAAAGAUAGAUUACAGAUGUGUAUUUUUCUACUAGUUACUUAUGUGAAAUGCAAUGAAAAAGACAGAAAUCUCAUAACCUGGCGAAUGUACCUAUAUGCCUUCUUUGCACACAUGGAUUUUUAUAUUCCUA